UGGUGCGGACACCAGAGCCAUCAAAAAUCGGCAACAUGAUUUAAGUUCGAUUUGGAUCGAAGAAGCAUCAUUAAAUUGAUUCUACUUCAGUUAUUUAUUUUCAGUCAAUAAAUUUUAAUGCAUUUGGCUUUGGGUCCAUAGGGCCAUACUUGGAUUUGUCUACGUCACCUUUGGAGCCACCACUCUCCACAUGCCAAGAGAAGAAAUAUGCAUACCAGCAUGUACCGUGCUCAUGCCAAGUUGUGUCAAGCAUCAAGCACCCACAUGGAGUUCCAUUUCUUCCUUAGAAUUCCUUAAGAGUUCUUGGCUACUUACUUAUUUUGUUGAAGGUUGAUUUCUUUCCUAUGGUAGAUUAUAAUGCUUUACUUUUUUGUGGAGGGUUGAUUUCUUCCUUGUAAAGAUAAGAGAUUCCUAAACAAACAGGACCC
RNAcentral lists this long non-coding RNA (428 nucleotides) under Elaeis guineensis (African oil palm). RNAcentral describes it as "long non-coding RNA (EGUI_LNC019173)". The record is from RNAcentral. Lineage: Eukaryota; Viridiplantae; Streptophyta; Magnoliopsida; Arecales; Arecaceae.